AUUAUUUCGUUGACAGUGUUCAACAAAUCAA
This is a non-coding RNA of Aedes aegypti (yellow fever mosquito), 31 nucleotides long. NCBI's taxonomy places the organism in Eukaryota, Metazoa, Arthropoda, Insecta, Diptera, Culicidae. The record is from Rfam.